This is a non-coding RNA of Drosophila ananassae, 76 nucleotides long. Lineage: Eukaryota; Metazoa; Arthropoda; Insecta; Diptera; Drosophilidae. The record is from Rfam.
ACACUUGCAGGACGGGGAGCGUGACAAUAUAUAUAUUUUAUAAACAUAUAUUGCACACCUCCCGGCCUAUAAGUGU